GUACGUCUUCAGGGCGGGGUGAAAUUCCCCACCGGCGGUAUGCAGGCGGGGCGCAUCAUCGCGUGCGAGUCUGCGAGCCCGCGAGCGCCUGCGUUGCAGUUCGGGAUGCAGGGUCAGCAGAUCUGGUGAGAGGCCAGAGCCGACGGUUAGAGUCCGGAUGGAAGAAGAUGUGC
This 173-nucleotide non-coding RNA is filed under the name Paraburkholderia phymatum. RNAcentral's name for it is "Burkholderia phymatum FMN sequence". It matches the Rfam family "FMN riboswitch aptamer (RFN element)". Rfam says of the family: The RFN element is a highly conserved domain that is found frequently in the 5'-untranslated regions of prokaryotic mRNAs that encode for flavin mononucleotide (FMN) biosynthesis and transport proteins. Lineage: Bacteria; Pseudomonadati; Pseudomonadota; Betaproteobacteria; Burkholderiales; Burkholderiaceae. The record is from RNAcentral. RNAcentral also lists the same sequence under 1 other name.